CGGGCCCCGCACAAGCAGCGGAGCGUGUGGUUUAAUUCGAUGCUACACGAAGAACCUUACCAGGGUUUGACAUGCAAGUGGUAGGAAGCCGAAAGGUGACCGACCCUUCGGGGAGCUUGCACAGGUGCUGCAUGGCUGUCGUCAGCUCGUGUCGUGAGAUGUUCGGUUAAGUCCGCUAACGAGCGCAACCCUCGCUGUGUGUUAUAUGUGUCACACGGGACUGCCGGUCUUAAGCCGGAGGAAGGUGGGGAUGAUGUCAAGUCAGCAUGGCCUUUAUAUCCUGGGCUACACACACGCUACAAUGGCCAACACAAUAGGUUGCUAAGCCGCGAGGUGGCGCCAAUCCAUAAAGUUGGUCUCAGUUCAGAUUGUAGGCUGCAACCCGCCUGCAUGAAGAUGGAGUUGCUAGUAACCGCAGGUCAGCUAUACUGCGGUGAAUACGUUCCCGGGGCUU
RNAcentral lists this ribosomal RNA (454 nucleotides) under uncultured Leptolinea sp. Its description in RNAcentral is "bacterial SSU rRNA". It matches the Rfam family "Bacterial small subunit ribosomal RNA", at positions 916 to 1381 of the family's 1533-position model. The record is from RNAcentral. Lineage: Bacteria; Bacillati; Chloroflexota; Anaerolineae; Anaerolineales; Anaerolineaceae.